Molecule: non-coding RNA, 843 nt
Organism: Phalacrocorax carbo (great cormorant)
Lineage: Eukaryota; Metazoa; Chordata; Aves; Suliformes; Phalacrocoracidae
Source: RefSeq, a predicted model, not a curated record
GCAGCAACAAUACCAAAGCCAGGGAAGAAAAGCCAUUAUCUGCAGAUCGCCGGUGCUGGAGGCAAUGGGGGAAGAUCCAUUUGCUAGUGAUUUCAAUGUCCUUGCUUAAGACCUGUCUGCUGGGGUAUAUGGCUGAAGGUUUCCUGUUUGUUGGCUGGUUUGGAAGUUGGCAAUUCAUCGAGAUGAAGUUGUGCAAAGUUGGCUGUUCCUGAAUUUGCAUUUUUUUCCCAGAGGACAGAGUUUACAGUGAAAAAUGUUGCUAUGCUGCAUCAUCAUGAGCUCCAUUCCACCACACCCCCACUGGGUCACCCUGUCAUGUGGGGAGGCACAGGUCUGUCCUUCCUCACCUCUUCCCCCUCACCAAAGUCGUGGCGAUUCCCCUCAUCCCUGCUCUGGACACGGGAUUACCGUUCCGGCUCCUCUUCCCAGUGCAUCAUCAACAUGUUGUUUCCAGGGUCAUAAAUUUGCACUGUGAUGAGACACAACCAGAUGUUAGGAUACGUGAAGCGACUGGCGAAGCAGCCUGCCUGGCGCAGCCCCCACCUCCGGAGUCAGCCGCCCGCUAAUGAGAACCAGGUCUCCUGCCUCGAGCUGGGCCAGGACAGACGGAGAGCAUCCCCAGGAGCAACCGCAGAGCUGCCAUCUCGACCCCCUUCCUGCUCUCAGUACCCGGGGAGCAUCUCCAGGGCACUUGGCAGGAGAAAGGGCAGAGCCUGGGAUUUAGGUUGCAGACAAAAGCAAAUAUCUUCCUGAGUUUCUCUUGCCUUGUUUCCCUGCCAUAACAAAGUACCACGACAUUUGCCUUGAGUCAUCGAGGAGACAAGCCCUCGUAACCCGGGCCUG